CCUAGGCCAUGCAUUGUACUAGUAAGGCCAGUGGCUCGAUGGAAUGGCCUCGGCCACAAAGGAGGCCUGGAAGAAGAGGAUGGCUCAGUAGUGGCAUGCAUUGUCUCUCCACAGCUACUGCAGCCAACAAUAACAGUAGCAAAACCAUCAUCAGACUGAGCCGAGCUCCUUGAGAGCUCCUGCUGAAGGAGUGAGUAGCAGCUCCUCAAAUGCUAAUUGUUUGGGAAAAAUUGAGGCCAAGCUGAGGUCAUCGGAAGGCUGAGCUAAGGUCAUCAGAAGGUCAAGCUG
Molecule: long non-coding RNA, 288 nt
Filed under: Elaeis guineensis (African oil palm)
Lineage: Eukaryota; Viridiplantae; Streptophyta; Magnoliopsida; Arecales; Arecaceae
Description: long non-coding RNA (EGUI_LNC020184)
Source: RNAcentral